UCCCAGGCUCUGCUAAGAGCCAUCACCUGAAUUAAACAGCAUUUCU
This is a non-coding RNA of Phaethon lepturus (White-tailed tropicbird), 46 nucleotides long. Lineage: Eukaryota; Metazoa; Chordata; Aves; Phaethontiformes; Phaethontidae. The record is from Rfam.